This 345-nucleotide ribosomal RNA is filed under the name Triticum aestivum (bread wheat). RNAcentral's name for it is "partial small subunit ribosomal RNA". Lineage: Eukaryota; Viridiplantae; Streptophyta; Magnoliopsida; Poales; Poaceae. The record is from RNAcentral.
AUGGAGAAGCUCGGCGCUCGAGGUAUCCAUGGUGGUUUGCUGAAGGGAGUGGAGAACCAACUUGUUGGAAUUAUGGGGACGAAGAAUUGGUUUGCCGAGGGCAGUGGAGAACCAAUUGUUGGACUUGCGGAGGAGAAGAAUGAGGGGGCGGCGGCGGCGGAGCACGGCGAGGGAGCGGAAGGCAGGUGUCCAUGGCUGUCCAGAAAAAUCAGGAAGGUGUGGUCAGGAGUUGUCGACAGGUGUGUUUGGAUGAGGAGAGAUAAGGUCUGCAUAGAGGAAAAAGAAGGACGGUGCGUGGGACCUGCUGUAAGUGUCAAGCGGUAUGUAGCGAGCGCUGCAUGCUAG